GGCGGCGUGCCUAAUACAUGCAAGUCGAGCGGACUGAUGGGAGCUUGCUCCCUGAAGUCAGCGGCGGACGGGUGAGUAACACGUGGGCAACCUGCCUGCAAGACCGGGAUAACUUCGGGAAACCGGAGCUAAUACCGGAUAAUCCUCUUUCCCGCAUGGGAAAGAGCUGAAAGAUGGCUUCGGCUAUCACUUGCAGAUGGGCCCGCGGCGCAUUAGCUGGUUGGUGAGGUAACGGCUCACCAAGGCGACGAUGCGUAGCCGACCUGAGAGGGUGAUCGGCCACACUGGGACUGAGACACGGCCCAGACUCCUACGGGAGGCAGCAGUAGGGAAUCUUCCGCAAUGGACGAAAGUCUGACGGAGCAACGCCGCGUGAGCGAAGAAGGCCUUCGGGUCGUAAAGCUCUGUUGUCAGGGAAGAACAAGUACCGUUCGAAUAGGGCGGUGCCUUGACGGUACCUGACCAGAAAGCCACGGCUAACUACGUGCCAGCAGCCGCGGUAAUACGUAGGUGGCAAGCGUUGUCCGGAAUUAUUGGGCGUAAAGCGCGCGCAGGCGGUUCCUUAAGUCUGAUGUGAAAGCCCACGGCUCAACCGUGGAGGGUCAUUGGAAACUGGGGAACUUGAGUGCAGAAGAGGAGAGCGGAAUUCCACGUGUAGCGGUGAAAUGCGUAGAGAUGUGGAGGAACACCAGUGGCGAAGGCGGCUCUCUGGUCUGUAACUGACGCUGAGGCGCGAAAGCGUGGGGAGCAAACAGGAUUAGAUACCCUGGUAGUCCACGCCGUAAACGAUGAGUGCUAAGUGUUAGAGGGUUUCCGCCCUUUAGUGCUGCAGCUAACGCAUUAAGCACUCCGCCUGGGGAGUAC
This 864-nucleotide ribosomal RNA is filed under the name uncultured bacterium. RNAcentral describes it as "bacterial SSU rRNA". It matches the Rfam family "Bacterial small subunit ribosomal RNA", at positions 38 to 883 of the family's 1533-position model. The record is from RNAcentral.